This 432-nucleotide ribosomal RNA is filed under the name Kocuria rhizophila. RNAcentral describes it as "bacterial SSU rRNA". It matches the Rfam family "Bacterial small subunit ribosomal RNA", at positions 66 to 505 of the family's 1533-position model. Lineage: Bacteria; Bacillati; Actinomycetota; Actinomycetes; Micrococcales; Micrococcaceae. The record is from RNAcentral.
ACGCUGAAGCUUGGUGCUUGCACUGGGUGGAUGAGUGGCGAACGGGUGAGUAAUACGUGAGUAACCUGCCCUUGACUCUGGGAUAAGCCUGGGAAACUGGGUCUAAUACUGGAUACGACAUGUCACCGCAUGGUGGUGUGUGGAAAGGGUUUUACUGGUUUUGGAUGGGCUCACGGCCUAUCAGCUUGUUGGUGGGGUAAUGGCUCACCAAGGCGACGACGGGUAGCCGGCCUGAGAGGGUGACCGGCCACACUGGGACUGAGACACGGCCCAGACUCCUACGGGAGGCAGCAGUGGGGAAUAUUGCACAAUGGGCGGAAGCCUGAUGCAGCGACGCCGCGUGAGGGAUGACGGCCUUCGGGUUGUAAACCUCUUUCAGCACGGAAGAAGCGAAAGUGACGGUACGUGCAGAAGAAGCGCCGGCUAACUACG